Molecule: long non-coding RNA, 315 nt
Organism: Ornithorhynchus anatinus (platypus)
Lineage: Eukaryota; Metazoa; Chordata; Mammalia; Monotremata; Ornithorhynchidae
Exons: 2
Source: RefSeq, a predicted model, not a curated record
UACUGCCCCUGCCAACCCCAGAUCCUGAUUUUCCAGACCAGUCCAACAGCCAUCAAUAGAGACCAGCCUGGCCACAAUGACUCCAAGAUGGUGGAUUGGGCCAUGAGGUAGAGAUCAAAGGAUCACUGAAGGAGGUACUAAAAGCAAUGAAUGGAUACCAUUGGAGAUUGAGAGAUGCCAGCUUCCUGUUCAACCAACAACGAAGAGCCACGGAACCCCACUGACAGCAUGGGGACCAACGAAGUUUCACUCACACAACAUCUCUGGGAGAGCCAACGGGAGCUUAUGCAAAUAAAAAGAUGUGCUAAAACCCCA